CAGAGAGUGCAAACGUUGUUCGGAAUUACUGGGCUUGAAGCGCACGUAGGCGGCAUCGUAAGUGUCGGGUGAAAUCCCACGGCUCACCCGUGGAACUGCCCGGCAUACUGCGAUGCUAGAGUGUGGUAGGGGAGAGCGGAACUCCUGGUGGAGCGGUGAAAUGCGUAGAUAUCAGGAGGAACACCGGUGGCGGAGGCGGCUCUCUGGUCCACAACUGACGCUGAGGUGCGAAAGCUAGGGGAGCAAACGGGAUUAGAUACCCCGGUAGUCCUAGCUGUAAACGAUGGGCACUAGCUUGGGGUCUCCCUGUGUGAUCCCAGGUGAAGCAAAAGUGAUAAGUGCCCCGCCUGGGGAGUAUGGUCGCAAGGCUG
Molecule: ribosomal RNA, 371 nt
Filed under: uncultured organism
Description: bacterial SSU rRNA
Rfam family: Bacterial small subunit ribosomal RNA
Source: RNAcentral